AGGACUUUAGUCAAAUAUGAUAUUUAAUUUGCAAUUAAAAGGUGCGUGAGCAUGUCUUU
Molecule: transfer RNA, 59 nt
Filed under: Ergasilus tumidus
Lineage: Eukaryota; Metazoa; Arthropoda; Copepoda; Poecilostomatoida; Ergasilidae
Description: tRNA-Ala
Source: RNAcentral